UUCUUUUACUGCUUGAUUGAUGUUAUUCACAUUGAAAUCAUUUGGAGCUUUGAGAUGCAGUUUUGAAGGUUGAAUUUCUCUUGUGUAAAUGAAGGUAUGCUGUCAGAUUCUGAUGCUCUAUGGUUCAGAGCAUAUAUAAUUUUAAUCCAGUGUUGGGAGUAAUGAGAGUUGCUUAAUAUUGUAUAAUGUAGGAGUUCAUUUGCCAUUUUUUAACCAUCGGGUGUCUUAUAUUGGCCUAAACUUUUCCCCUCUUUUUUCUUUCUUUUUUUCUUUUUUUCUUUUUCUUUUCUUUUUUCUCUCGAGAACUUGUCAUGGUUAGGUAAAGCUUCAUUCAUGUAAGGUCAAGUGAACUUGGAUGUUGCUGCAAUGAGUUAUACAUCAUGUUGCGUUUGAGCAAAUUGGCCGACUUACAGUUUUUACUUAAGUAAAUGAUGAAAAGCAAGUGUCGAUUUCAACAGGUAAUUCUUCAUGAAACUGCUGGGUUGUUCCUCGAUUUCUGUAGGACCUCCUAUAACAUUUGUAUCUAUAGUUGCCGCAAUGUUAACUCAUUUAUGUUAACCUUUAUCUGUGCUCCAUUUAGUUUUUUCUCACUACAGUUAAUUACAGAUUCACUGAUUUAUAGUGUCAUCUUAAUGAGUGUGUUGGGUUUUCAAUUUGUUGUUUUGAUAUUAUGUCAUGGAACAAGGAUUUUGGUUUUGAAAGAUGAACUUGUUGGCUGUUGCAUUGAAAGGUUGGAAAGAGCCUCUUUAUCUGCGUAAGGAAGACUGCAGUCACCAAUGAAGCCUGCAAGUGUAUGCCGUGCUAUGUUGCUAUUACCAUAAAAUAGAUCUAUCUGUUCAUGGUCUCCAUAGUCUGUAGUUUGGCGCAGGAAAAGUACACACUUUUAUAAGUUAUCAUGUACAAAUAGAAUUAUACUACUGUGUAUCCGAAGGAUGGUAAAAUAAUUAUUCAAGUACAAUUGGUGCAAAAAAUAAGAAAAAAUGGCGAGUGUUCCCAUUUAGUGGGGUCUAGGGAUGGUAG
This 1020-nucleotide long non-coding RNA is filed under the name Lupinus mutabilis. Its description in RNAcentral is "partial ncRNA". Lineage: Eukaryota; Viridiplantae; Streptophyta; Magnoliopsida; Fabales; Fabaceae. The record is from RNAcentral.